This 1247-nucleotide ribosomal RNA is filed under the name Candidatus Phytoplasma cynodontis. RNAcentral describes it as "bacterial SSU rRNA". It matches the Rfam family "Bacterial small subunit ribosomal RNA", at positions 153 to 1399 of the family's 1533-position model. The record is from RNAcentral. Lineage: Bacteria; Bacillati; Mycoplasmatota; Mollicutes; Acholeplasmatales; Acholeplasmataceae.
GAAACGACUGCUAAGACUGGAUAGGAGAUAAGAAGGCAUCUUUUUAUUUUUAAAAGACCUUUUUCGAAGGGUUUACUUAAAGAGGGGCUUGCGGCACAUUAGUUAGUUGGUAGGGUAAAAGCCUACCAAGACUAUGAUGUGUAGCUGGACUGAGAGGUUGAACAGCCACAUUGGGACUGAGACACGGCCCAAACUCCUACGGGAGGCAGCAGUAGGGAAUUUUCGGCAAUGGAGGAAACUCUGACCGAGCAACGCCGCGUGAACGAUGAAGUAUUUCGGUAUGUAAAGUUCUUUUAUUGAAGAAGAAAAAAUAGUGGAAAAACUAUCUUGACGAUAUUCAAUGAAUAAGCCCCGGCAAACUAUGUGCCAGCAGCCGCGGUAAUACAUAGGGGGCGAGCGUUAUCCGGAAUUAUUGGGCGUAAAGGGUGCGUAGGCGGUUUGGUAAGUCUAUAGUUUAAUUUCAGUGCUUAACACUGUUCUGCUAUAGAAACUAUCAGACUAGAGUGAGAUAGAGGCAAGUGGAAUUCCAUGUGUAGCGGUAAAAUGCGUAAAUAUAUGGAGGAACACCAGAGGCGUAGGCGGCUUGCUGGGUCUUUACUGACGCUGAGGCACGAAAGCGUGGGGAGCAAACAGGAUUAGAUACCCUGGUAGUCCACGCCGUAAACGAUGAGUACUAAGUGUCGGGGAAACUCGGUACUGAAGUUAACACAUUAAGUACUCCGCCUGAGUAGUACGUACGCAAGUAUGAAACUUAAAGGAAUUGACGGGACUCCGCACAAGCGGUGGAUCAUGUUGUUUAAUUCGAAGAUACACGAAAAACCUUACCAGGUCUUGACAUACUCUGCAAAGCUAUAGCAAUAUAGUGGAGGUUACCAGGGAUACAGGUGGUGCAUGGUUGUCGUCAGCUCGUGUCGUGAGAUGUUAGGUUAAGUCCUAAAACGAGCGCAACCCUUGUCACUAGUUGCCAGCAUGUUAUGAUGGGCACUUUAGUGAGACUGCCAAUGAAAAAUUGGAGGAAGGUGAGGAUCACGUCAAAUCAUCAUGCCCCUUAUGAUCUGGGCUACAAACGUGAUACAAUGGCUGUUACAAGGAGUAGCUAAAACGCGAGUUUAUAGCCAAUCUCAUAAAAGCAGUCUCAGUUCGGAUUGAAGUCUGCAACUCGACUUCAAGAAGUUGGAACCGCUAGUAAUCGCGAAUCAGCAUGUCGCGGUGAAUACGUUCUCGGGGUUUGUACACACCGCCCGUCA